ACUCAAUUAAAGAGCAUGCAUUGUUGACCGGUUUGAACUGCCGUGAGUACCCAAAAUACUAUAAGACUUUAGGCAGUUUGAAGUUUGUUGAGAAGUUGUUUAAGAGGACUGAAGACAUCAAGAUUAAAGACGUGGAAGAGAAGCUGGAAGAGUUUAAGAGUGAGAAGUCUACUGCUAGGUUGAAGUUGGCAAUUCUGUUAUUCUUAGCUAAGGUUAUGAAAGCUGAUUCUAAAGGGGAUUCGAAGAUAGAGGAGUUGCUUCUUAGGAUUGUGGAUAAUGUCAGAGCUUGUGAGACAUUCCCGUGGGGACGUUUUUCCUUUGAGAAGUGUAUGGAAGGGGUGCGGAGAGUAAUGAAGAACAUGAAAGGUGUGGUGAAACCCAAGGCACAGACUGCUUUUUAUGGAUUUAUUACUCCAGGUAAGUAGUCGAGUAAAUUAUAUGAGUGGCUAGAUUUUGUUAUUGUGAACUUGCAUUUACUUUUAUGUUUUUGUGUCUAGAUUCUUAC
RNAcentral lists this small RNA (505 nucleotides) under Arabidopsis thaliana (thale cress). RNAcentral describes it as "ATSL273540". Lineage: Eukaryota; Viridiplantae; Streptophyta; Magnoliopsida; Brassicales; Brassicaceae. The record is from RNAcentral.